This 468-nucleotide ribosomal RNA is filed under the name uncultured bacterium. Its description in RNAcentral is "partial 16S ribosomal RNA". It matches the Rfam family "Bacterial small subunit ribosomal RNA", at positions 28 to 507 of the family's 1533-position model. The record is from RNAcentral.
GACGAACGCUGGCGGCGUGCUUAACACAUGCAAGUCGAACGGAAAGGCCCUGCUUUUGUGGGGUGCUCGAGUGGCGAACGGGUGAGUAACACGUGAGUAACCUGCCCUUGACUUUGGGAUAACUUCAGGAAACUGGGGCUAAUACCGGAUAGGAGCUCCUGCUGCAUGGUGGGGGUUGGAAAGUUUCGGCGGUUGGGGCUGGACUCGCGGCUUAUCAGCUUGUUGGUGGGGUAGUGGCUUACCAAGGCUUUGACGGGUAGCCGGCCUGAGAGGGUGACCGGCCACAAUGGUACUGCGAUACGGAGCAGUAUCCUACGGGAGGCAGCAGUCGGGAAUAUUGCACAAUGGGCCGAAGUCUGAUGCAGCAACGUCGCGUGCGGGAUGACGGCCUUCGGGUUGUAAACCGCUUUCGAAGGUGACGAAGCGUGCGUGACGGUAAUUGGUAAAGAAGCACCGGCUAACUACGUG